UAUUUGGGUAUUUGUUGGUUGUAAAAUGUG
RNAcentral lists this non-coding RNA (30 nucleotides) under Mus musculus (house mouse). The record is from RNAcentral. Lineage: Eukaryota; Metazoa; Chordata; Mammalia; Rodentia; Muridae.